CUACGGGCGGCAGCAGUGAGGAAUAUUGCGCAAUGGGGGAAACCCUGACGCAGCGACGCCGCGUGGAUGAUGAAGGCCUUAGGGUCGUAAAAUCCUGUCAGGUGGGAAGAAGUGGAUAUAGAUUAAUACUCUAUUUCUUUGACGGUACCACCAAAGGAAGCACCGGCUAACUCCGUGCCAGCAGCCGCGGUAAUACGGAGGGUGCAAACGUUGUUCGGAAUUACUGGGCGUAAAGCGCGCGUAGGCGGUUUGUUAAGUCGGAUGUGAAAGUCCAUGGCUCAACUAUGGAAGUGCAUUUGGAACUGGCAGACUUGAGUACUGGAGGGGGUGAUGGAAUUCCCGGUGUAGAGGUGAAAUUCGUAGAUAUCGGGAGGAAUACCGGUGGCGAAGGCGAUCACCUGGCCAGAUACUGACGCUGAGGUGCGAAAGCGUGGGGAGCAAACAGGAUUAGAUACCCGGGUAGUC
Molecule: ribosomal RNA, 465 nt
Filed under: uncultured bacterium
Lineage: Bacteria
Description: partial 16S ribosomal RNA
Rfam family: Bacterial small subunit ribosomal RNA
Source: RNAcentral